GGAACACCAAUAGCAGCGUUGGAGCCUCUGGGCCGGAGGAACUGGGGCCUCCACCGACACCUGCUUGAGAAGAGGAGCCAAAACAUCAUAGUUGAACCGUCCUGGAAUAGAAACUCGCCCUGAAUUCUUUCUUGUGUGAAAUCCAAGAGCCCUCUCUUGGGGUUGGAUCGGGACCCUGUUCCUGUAACAAGUCCACAAUGCCAGAGAAUUAAAGAGAACCACAAAGUUUCUGCCAUUUCAGUUCCUGUUAUCGUGCUUUGAGGUGCACUGAACUGCAGCAAACCCAGGGGAUCCAAGGCUACGUUGAAAAGCCUUUGACCACAGUGCAGGGAGCAGAAGACAUUAAUGACGUGAUGUCGACACAGCCCGCACUCAGGAUCCUCCAGGAAAAGAACACAGAGAUAACCCCGGAUCGAUGGUACUUUUUGAAAAUGCUUUAUUGCAAAAGAGUGGCUAGGGUUUUACAAGGGCUAUGAAGAAACAUAUUAAGGUUAAUAAAGCUUUUUAUUGAGUGUUUA
Molecule: long non-coding RNA, 518 nt
Filed under: Homo sapiens (human)
Lineage: Eukaryota; Metazoa; Chordata; Mammalia; Primates; Hominidae
Description: CNN3 divergent transcript
Source: RNAcentral